CCUACGGGAGGCAGCAGUAGGGAAUCUUCCACAAUGGACGAAAGUCUGAUGGAGCAACGCCGCGUGAGUGAAGAAGGGUUUCGGCUCGUAAAGCUCUGUUGGUAGUGAAGAAAGAUAGAGGUAGUAACUGGCCUUUAUUUGACGGUAAUUACUUAGAAAGUCACGGCUAACUACGUGCCAGCAGCUGCGGUAAUACGUAGGUGGCAAGCGUUGUCCGGAUUUAUUGGGCGUAAAGGGAGUGCAGGCGGUUCAAUAAGUCAGAUGUGAAAGCCUUCGGCUCAACCGGAGAAUUGCAUCAGAAACUGGUGGACUUGAGUGCAGAAGAGGAGAGUGGAACUCGAGGUGUAGCGGUGGAAUGCGUAGAUAUAUGGAAGAACACCAGUGGCGAAGGCAGCUCUCUGGUCUGCAACUGACGCUGAGGCUCGAAAGCAUGGGUAGCGAACAGGAUUAGAUACCCCGGUAGUC
RNAcentral lists this ribosomal RNA (465 nucleotides) under uncultured bacterium. Its description in RNAcentral is "partial 16S ribosomal RNA". It matches the Rfam family "Bacterial small subunit ribosomal RNA", at positions 338 to 795 of the family's 1533-position model. The record is from RNAcentral.